AUUGAACGCUGGCGGCAUGCCUUACACAUGCAAGUCGAACGGCAGCACGGGUGCUUGCACCUGGUGGCGAGUGGCGAACGGGUGAGUAAUACAUCGGAACGUACCUUAUCGUGGGGGAUAACGCAGCGGAGGCUGUGCUAAUACCGCAUACGCCCUGAGGGGGAAAGCGGGGGAUCGCAAGACCUCGCGCGAUUAGAGCGGCCGAUGCCUGAUUAGCUAGUUGGUGGGGUAAAAGCCCACCAAGGCGACGAUCAGUAGCUAGUCUGAGAGGACGAUCAGCCACACUGGGACUGAGACACGGCCCAGACUCCUACGGGAGGCAGCAGUGGGGAAUUUUGGACAAUGGGGGCAACCCUGAUCCAGCAAUGCCGCGUGAGUGAAGAAGGCCUUCGGGUUGUAAAGCUCUUUUGUCAGGGAAGAAACACCGGCUCUAACACAGUCCGGGAAUGACGGUACCUGAAGAAUAAGCACCGGCUAACUACGUGCCAGCCGCCGCAGUAA
Molecule: ribosomal RNA, 501 nt
Filed under: uncultured bacterium
Lineage: Bacteria
Description: partial 16S ribosomal RNA
Rfam family: Bacterial small subunit ribosomal RNA
Source: RNAcentral